CAGAGGUCCCAAGCGUUGUUCGGAUUCACUGGGCGUAAAGGGUGCGUAGGCGGUCAGGUAAGUCUGAUGUGAAAUCUCUGGGCUUAACCCAGAAAUGGCAUUGGAUACUAUUUGGCUUGAGAGUUGGAGGGGGACUGGAAUUCUUGGUGUAGCAGUGAAAUGCGUAGAUAUCAAGAGGAACACCAGUGGCGAAGGCGAGUCCCUGGACAACUUCUGACGCUGAGGCACGAAAGCUAGGGGAGCAAACAGGAUUAGAUACCCUGGUAGUCCUAGCUGUAAACGGUGCUUAUUUGCUGUAAAAGGAUCGACCCCUUUUGUGGCGUAGCAAACGCGUUAAAAUAAGCCGCCUGGGAAGUACGGUCGCAAGAUUA
RNAcentral lists this ribosomal RNA (371 nucleotides) under uncultured organism. RNAcentral describes it as "bacterial SSU rRNA". It matches the Rfam family "Bacterial small subunit ribosomal RNA", at positions 526 to 896 of the family's 1533-position model. The record is from RNAcentral.